Molecule: long non-coding RNA, 3509 nt
Filed under: Lactuca sativa (garden lettuce)
Lineage: Eukaryota; Viridiplantae; Streptophyta; Magnoliopsida; Asterales; Asteraceae
Description: long non-coding RNA (LSAT_LNC003636)
Source: RNAcentral
CACCUUCUCAGGUGAGUGCAUAGUUACUUUCAUCUUACACAUAGAUAUGAAGUAUUUUAUAUAAACUACGUGCUAUGUGUGCAUAUUAUCUGAAUACUUGUUGUCUAUGCUGGAUGAACGUUUUUUUAUACAUGUUUUAAAUGAUUUGAACUGUAUACGUAUUUUAAAUAUACAAGUAUGUUGGGUAUGAGAUGGGUAGAUGAAUGAUGAGAGAUAAAAGAUGAUGUGAGUAAACAUUGGCAGCUAUAGACUUAGUGCCUAACAAAUAACAUCGGCAACUAUGGACUUAGUGCCUAUUGGACAAACACUGGUAGCUAUGGUCUUAGUACCUGUUAGGAAUUGGUAGCUAUGGACUUAGUACCUAUUAGAUAAACACUGGUAGCUAUGGAUUUAGUACCCAGCAGCUAUGGAAUUAGUGCUUUACGAACGAGCAUUGGCAGCUAUGGAUUUAGUGUCAGUUCUAUAACUCUGGAAGCAAAGGACUUCAGAAUGAACGAAUGCGGGAUAGAUGACUCUUAGGAUAGAUCCUUAAGAGUAAAGAAGAUAAUGGGGAUGGGUAAUUGGGUCGAUUUUUUGAUUGUUUAAACAUAAUAAUUAUAUUAUUGUGGGUUGAAAACCCUAUGUACUCACCAGGUUUCCCAACCUGACCCACUCAGUUUAUUUAUAUUACAGGUGUUGAGAUGAAUUCACAUUACACUGAGAGAUUAAAGAGAUGUAGAUCAUUAGUAUAAAUAAAUGUAAGUUCUGUUUAUGCUUAUGUUUCUGUAUUGACGAUGACAUCCCAAAUGUUUUAAAACGAAUUAAAAAUACUUUUCUUCGGAAAUGCUUUGAUAACGUAUUUAUCAUGUUUUACCGGGAAAAAUUCCGCAAUAUUUUUAUUAAAAGAGGUACUCUGAUUUUUAUAAAGCAUAAACAAAAUCGGUAUUUUCUUGCCGUGAAAAUAGGGAUGUCACAGUUGGUAUCAGAGCAUUAGUUUAAGCGAACUAGGAAUAAGGAUUUAUUUCUAGACUUAAACUUAGAAUGCUAAGCGAUGAUUGUGAGAUGAGUAUCUGCUAUAAUUUAGACACGAGCACUAGUUUAUUUUAGGAAAAUGCCUAAAAAUUUUUAUGUGCUAAAUGAUUUAUGUUAUAGCUAUAAAAAAUGCCUUAUAUGUUGUUAUUUGUUCGGAUCUAUGGUCUGUUUCCGACCGGAUCUGGAAACCUUAUGUGUUCAGGAUUCUAAGCGUAUGAUUAUGAUAUUAGAACUAGCAUGUAACGUUUCAGAGUAUUAAGGAGAUUUAUACGUCUAUCGUAAAUAAAAUCUUUCCUAUCUUAAAUUCUUGUCUCGGUACACCGAGCGUCUGCUUGGGUGUACAAAACAAGAGGAAGAUGACAACCUGACCCUAAGAAUGUGAUGGGUCAUGCAUCGGUCGUUGCGCCUGCACCCGAACCUAUCACAAUGGCAGAAGUUCAGGAAAUGAUGCAAACCAUGAUAAACUAAGAAAAUAGAGGAAAAGAGAUGACUUACGAUACUGAAUAAUACCUAUCAGAAGAUAUAAUAAGAGAGGUAUCUUGCCUUUAGAAUACGUCUGAUAAAAUAGCAGUACGUCUAUAGAGGUAGGGUACAUCUGAAUGUACACAUUUGAUUGGCGGGAUGAUAGAACGAUUGGUGUAAUUCCUAAAAUUUUCCUAUCAUUUGGAAUGUCCAUCACCAACCGAGUUGAAGCAGAAUUGAUGAUUGAAGAUAUACAUGGAAGAAGUCCUAGUAGAGUCUAGGGAAAUUUUUAUGAUUAUUUGGACACACUCGUAUGUGUUAAAUUGCGUUGUGAUUUUAGGACUUGGGGACUACGAGACAAUACUUGGGACGAGUAUGAGUCGGUGUGAAAGGUAGUAUAUGCAUAUACUAACGGAAGCACAUGACUCACGCUUGGAUUAGGGAAAGUCACAAGGUUACCAAGAAACUAGUAACUGAUUUCGUUUUAUUCAAGUAUGUCAUUACCAUCGUUUCGGUAAUGACUAAGAAGAUUGUUAUUCCGACCCUAGUGGUCAUAUCAAAUUGAGUCCGAUUACGUUGAGUAUGUUAUGUGGUUUAGAGAAUCAAGUUCGAUGUAGCGUCUGACUUAAGAAAAAAAUAUUGAAAUAAAAAGUGAUCAGUAGAGGUAUCACGAAAGGUUGCUUGUAGCUAGAAAUGCUACCUUUUAAGAUGUGGUUAGAGCAUGAAGGAAGGUAUAGUCUGUUCUGGAAUUUGACUCUAAAAGACCUGAGUCCAAGCGAUGCAUCAUACGAUGAGAGGUCAUUAGAACAUGACCCAUCAGUCUAUUAUGAUAAUUGAAGAAAGAAACUUAUCUCAAGUUUGUUAAAAAAAGGAGUCUCCAAUAAAGAUCGAGAUAGCGACAUGAAGAUCAUGAUUGGAAGUCUAACAUGAGAUAGAGAGCGGGUCCAAGAUCGGGCACUGCCUGCAGUCAGGAAGUCUUAGAGUUAGAUACUCAUUUGAAGAGACAUCAAAGUUACGGUUAUUACUUAGGAUGAAGAGAUAACGUGUGGAGUCAUCAUAUGAGUCCUAUUUCGUUGAUGAUUCCGGGACGUAAUCAUCCUAAGGGGGAGAAAAUUGUAAUGCCCCUAGAUCCGAGCUAGUCAAUUUAGAGAUAAUAGGGGUCGAAAACGACUUUUUGACAAAAGAUUAUUUAGAAUAAAUAAUCUUAACCAAGUUGUAGAAUAUGUCUCAAGGGUUUCGUACAUAUAAAGAGCGCCGAAAUUCGAGUUAUAACGAAGAAGUUAUGAUCCAUCGAAGUUUAGCGACGGAACCAACACGGCACCGCGAAGACGUAAAUAGUAUAUUUAUGAUAGAGCAACUUUUAGCCUUAGUAAUCUAAAUGAAAGUCAUAGAAUAUGUUAACCUGAGAACGUCCAUCAAAAGAAUGCCCAAAUCUGACUUUGUAUAAGGAAGUUAUGAUUUUUCAAAGUUUCAGCUUAGCGGUGUACAGCCCGAAGUUCGAGUAUUAGAUCGAGCGGUUUUUAGCCGACACAACCUAAACGAGAAUCGAAGAUCUCAUUAUUAGUAGCGUAACAAUAAAAAGACAGAUGAAAAUGGACAUCGGAGGAAAUUAUUUUAAAGUACACGAAGCGCUAUCCGAGUACCGAGUCACCACCUUCUCAGGUGAGUGCAUAGUUACUUUCAUCUUACACAUAGAUAUGAAGUAUUUUAUAUAAACUACGUGCUAUGUGUGCAUAUUAUCUGAAUACUUGAUGUCUAUGCUGGAUGAACGUUUUUUUAUACAUGUUUUAAAUGAUUUGAACUGUAUAUGUAUUUUAAAUAUACAAGUAUGUUGGGUAUGAGAUGGGUAGGUGAAUGAUGAGAGAUAAAAGAUGAUGUGAGUAAACAUUGGCAGCUAUAGACUUAGUGCCUAACAAACAGCAUCGGCAGCUAUGGACUUAGUCUCUAUUGGACAAACACUGGUAGCUAUGAUCUUAGUACCUGUUAGGAAUUGGUAGCUAUGGACUUAAUACCUAUUAGAUAAACACUGGUAGCUA